This 515-nucleotide ribosomal RNA is filed under the name uncultured bacterium. RNAcentral describes it as "bacterial SSU rRNA". It matches the Rfam family "Bacterial small subunit ribosomal RNA", at positions 385 to 918 of the family's 1533-position model. The record is from RNAcentral.
GAUCUAGCCAUGCCGCGUGAGUGAUGAAGGCCCUAGGGUCGUAAAGCUCUUUCGCCUGUGAAGAUAAUGACUGUAGCAGGUAAAGAAACCCCGGCUAACUCCGUGCCAGCAGCCGCGGUAAUACGGAGGGGGUUAGCGUUGUUCGGAAUUACUGGGCGUAAAGCGCGCGUAGGCGGACAUUUAAGUCAGAGGUGAAAUCCCAGGGCUCAACCCUGGAACUGCCUUUGAUACUGGGUGUCUUGAGUUCGAGAGAGGUGAGUGGAAUUCCGAGUGUAGAGGUGAAAUUCGUAGAUAUUCGGAGGAACACCAGUGGCGAAGGCGGCUCACUGGCUCGAUACUGACGCUGAGGUGCGAAAGUGUGGGGAGCAAACAGGAUUAGAUACCCUGGUAGUCCACACCGUAAACGAUGAAUGCCAGUCGUCGGGCAGUAUGCUUGUCGGUGACACACCUAACGGAUUAAGCAUUCCGCCUGGGGAGUACGGUCGCAAGAUUAAAACUCAAAGGAAUUGACGGGG